GAACGCUAGCUACAGGCUUAACACCUGCAAGUCGAGGGGAAACGACAUCGAAAGCUUGCUUUUGAUGGGCGUCGACCGGCGCACGGGUGAGUAACGCGUAUCCAACCUGCCAUCACUUGGGAAUAACCUUGCGAAAGUAAGACUAAUACCCAAUGACAUCCCACGAAGACAUCUGAAUGGGAUUAAAGAUUUAUCGGUGAUGGAUGGGGAUGCGUCUGAUUAGCUUGUUGGCGGGGUAACGGCCCACCAAGGCAACGAUCAGUAGGGGUUCUGAGAGGAAGGUCCCCCACAUUGGAACUGAGACACGGUCCAAACUCUUACGGGAGGCAGCAGUGAGGAAUAUUGGUCAAUGGGCGAGAGCCUGAACCAGCCAAGUAGCGUGCAGGAUGACGGCCCUAUGGGUUGUAAACUGCUUUUAUAAGGGAAUAAAGUGGGUCUCGUGAGACUUUUUGCAUGUACCUUAUGAAUAAGGACCGGCUAAUUCCGUG
Molecule: ribosomal RNA, 488 nt
Filed under: uncultured bacterium
Lineage: Bacteria
Description: partial 16S ribosomal RNA
Rfam family: Bacterial small subunit ribosomal RNA
Source: RNAcentral